This 492-nucleotide ribosomal RNA is filed under the name uncultured bacterium. Its description in RNAcentral is "partial 16S ribosomal RNA". It matches the Rfam family "Bacterial small subunit ribosomal RNA", at positions 29 to 507 of the family's 1533-position model. The record is from RNAcentral.
AGUGAACGCUGGCGGUAGGCCUAACACAUGCAAGUCGAACGGCAGCACAGUAAGAGCUUGCUCUUACGGGUGGCGAGUGGCGGACGGGUGAGGAAUACAUCGGAAUCUACUUUUUCGUGGGGGAUAACGUAGGGAAACUUACGCUAAUACCGCAUACGACCUACGGGUGAAAGCAGGGGAUCUUCGGACCUUGCGCGAUCGAAUGAGCCGAUGUCGGAUUAGCUAGUUGGCGGGGUAAAGGCCCACCAAGGCGACGAUCCGUAGCUGGUCUGAGAGGAUGAUCAGCCACACUGGAACUGAGACACGGUCCAGACUCCUACGGGAGGCAGCAGUGGGGAAUAUUGGACAAUGGGCGCAAGCCUGAUCCAGCCAUACCGCGUGGGUGAAGAAGGCCUUCGGGUUGUAAAGCCCUUUUGUUGGGAAAGAAAAGCGGCAGGUUAAUACCCCGCUGUUCUGACGGUACCCAAAGAAUAAGCACCGGCUAACUUCGUG